UGGGGAAUAUUGCACAAUGGGCGCAAGCCUGAUGCAGCCAUGCCGCGUGUAUGAAGAAGGCCUUCGGGUUGUAAAGUACUUUCAGUCGGGAGGAAGGUGGUAAGGUUAAUAACCUUGGCAAUUGACGUUACCGACAGAAGAAGCACCGGCUAACUCCGUGCCAGCAGCCGCGGUAAUACGGAGGGUGCAAGCGUUCAUCGGAAUUACUGGGCGUAAAGCGCACGCAGGCGGUUUGUUAAGUCAGAUGUGAAAUCCCCGGGCUCAACCUGGGAACUGCAUCUGAUACUGGCAAGCUUGAGUCUCGUAGAGGGGAGUAGAAUUCCAGGUGUAGCGGUGAAAUGCGUAGAGAUCUGGAGGAAUACCGGUGGCGAAGGCGGCCCCCUGGACGAAGACUGACGCUCAGGUGCGAAAGCGUGGGGAGCAAACAGG
This 429-nucleotide ribosomal RNA is filed under the name Chloroflexota bacterium. RNAcentral's name for it is "Chloroflexi bacterium partial 16S ribosomal RNA". It matches the Rfam family "Bacterial small subunit ribosomal RNA", at positions 355 to 776 of the family's 1533-position model. Lineage: Bacteria; Bacillati; Chloroflexota. The record is from RNAcentral.